GGAGUUAGCCGGUGCUUCUUCUGCGAGUAACGUCACAGAUGUAAGGUAUUAACUUACACCCUUUCCUCCUCGCUGAAAGUGCUUUACAACCCGAAGGCCUUCUUCACACACGCGGCAUGGCUGCAUCAGGGUUUCCCCCAUUGUGCAAUAUUCCCCACUGCUGCCUCCCGUAGGAGUCUGGGCCGUGUCUCAGUCCCAGUGUGGCUGAUCAUCCUCUCAGACCAGCUAGGGAUCGUCGCCUAGGUGAGCCUUUACCUCACCUACUAGCUAAUCCCACCUGGGCUUAUCCAUCAGCGCAAGGCCCGAAGGUCCCCUGCUUUCCCCAGUAGGGCGUAUGCGGUAUUAGCAGUCGUUUCCAACUGUUAUCCCCCACAAAUGGGCAAAUUCCCAGGCAUUACUCACCCGUCCGCCGCUCGUCAUCUUCAAAAGCAAGCUUUUGAAAUGUUACCGCUCGACUUGCAUGUGUUAGGCCUGCCGCCAGCGUUCAAUCUGAACCAAGAUCAAAUUCUGA
RNAcentral lists this ribosomal RNA (511 nucleotides) under uncultured bacterium. RNAcentral describes it as "partial 16S ribosomal RNA". The record is from RNAcentral.